RNAcentral lists this ribosomal RNA (862 nucleotides) under uncultured Zetaproteobacteria bacterium. RNAcentral describes it as "bacterial SSU rRNA". It matches the Rfam family "Bacterial small subunit ribosomal RNA", at positions 33 to 889 of the family's 1533-position model. Lineage: Bacteria; Pseudomonadati; Pseudomonadota; Candidatius Mariprofundia. The record is from RNAcentral.
ACGCUGGCGGCAUGCCUAACACAUGCAAGUCGAACGGUAACAGGUCUUCGGAUGCUGACGAGUGGCGCACGGGUGAGUAACGCGUGGAUAUCUGCCUAUUAGUGGGGGACAACUUUCGGAAACGGAAGCUAAUACCGCAUAAUCUCUACGGAGCAAAGCAGGGGACCUUUCGGGGCCUUGUGCUGAUAGAUGAGUCCGCGUCUGAUUAGCUAGUUGGUAGGGUAAAAGCCUACCAAGGCGAUGAUCAGUAGCUGGUUUGAGAGGAUGAUCAGCCACACUGGAACUGAGACACGGUCCAGACUCCUACGGGAGGCAGCAGUGGGGAAUUUUGCACAAUGGGGGAAACCCUGAUGCAGCGAUGCCGCGUGUGGGAAGAAGGCUUUCGAGUUGUAAAUCACUUUCAAUUGGGAAGAAGGGAUGAGWGUUAAUAACWCUCUGACUUGACGGUACCUUUAGAAGAAGCACCGGCUAAUUUCGUGCCAGCAGCCGCGGUAAUACGAAAGGUGCAAGCGUUGUUCGGAUUUACUGGGCGUAAAGAGAUCGUAGGUGGUUUGAUAAGUUGGAUGUGAAAUCCCGGGGCUCAACCUCGGAACUGCAUCCAAAACUGUCAGACUUGAGUUCGGGAGGGGUAAGCGGAAUUCCGUGUGUAGCAGUGAAAUGCGUAGAUAUACGGAGGAACACCUGAGGCGAARGCGGCUUACUGGACCGAUACUGACACUGAGGAUCGAAAGCGUGGGUAGCAAACAGGAUUAGAUACCCUGGUAGUCCACGCCCUAAACGAUGUCAACUAGCCGUUGCGGGUAUCGACCCCUGCAGUGGCGCAGCUAACGCGAUAAGUUGACCGCCUGGGGAGUACGGUCGC